Molecule: long non-coding RNA, 1900 nt
Organism: Camelus dromedarius (Arabian camel)
Lineage: Eukaryota; Metazoa; Chordata; Mammalia; Artiodactyla; Camelidae
Exons: 10
Source: RefSeq, a predicted model, not a curated record
GACGCUCCGGGGCGCGAGGAGCCCUCCUGGGGUUCCCUGGCGCUGCCAGUGAGGGGCGCUCGGGGUAGAAGACGGGGACGAGAGGAGGCCGGGCUGGAGAAGGCAGGAUAACCGGAGAGGAGGGACGUGUUGGAGAUAACUGAGGAUGUGGGAUCUAAGCACACAGAGCUAAGUAACCUUCCCAAGGAUAGUGAAGUAGUAAAUGGCAAAGAUGAAAUUCUAUCUGCAGCCGGACUUGGGGCUCUCAAUAUGCAAAGCUUGUCUCUCAGCAAAGGCAUGUGACCCUAUGUGAGCUGCCAAGUCAGAAACCAGUGACUGUGGAGAACAUUUCAGCAAUGGCCAGGUCUCCUGGUCACUGGAACAUUACCGGAUCCUGAGAGCCGCAGAGGGUCUGUCACGUGAAUAUACAACUGAAUCCUAAGGUAAACUGUGGACUUCGGAGGAUUCUGAUGUGUCAAUGGAGGUUCAUCCUUGGUGAAAAAUGUACCACAUGGAGCCGCCUGUGUGACGUCCUCGCCUGAUCAUAGGAGGCCUGCCAAGAUCUGAUGACGGCCUCUGUCCAGCCUCGCACCUGCCGUUACUCCUGACCGUGACUCUAGGUUUUGGCAGCACUGCUAUGCAUCCUCACGCUUGAGACGAGCAAACUGAGCUGAGAGAGAUCAUUUCAUUUUCCCAAGGACACACAGGAGGCUCUCCCCACUGUUGAAGAUACAUCGCUAUUACAAGCUAUUGAAUAUAGUUCCCUGUGCUAUACACUGCCUGCACUAUUUACAAUAGCCAAGAUGUGGAAUCAGCCUAAAUGUCCAUCAACAGAUGACUGGAUAAAGAAGAUGUGGUAAUACUUAUACAAUGGAAUACUCUUCAGCCAUAAAAACCAACAACAUAAUGCCAUUUGCAGCAACAUGGAUGUUCCUGGAGAAUCUCAUUCUAAGUGAAAUCAUGUCUCUGGGAGAAGACAGCUGCCAUGUCAUGAGGAUGCUCAAGCAGCAACUUGGAAAGGUUCAUGUGGUCCAGACAGAAAGGGACUGAGGGCCUCUGCCAACAGACAUGUGCGUGAGCCAUCUUGGAAGCAGAUCUUCCAGUCCCAGUCAAGCUUUCAAAGACUGCAGUCCUGGCCAACAUCUUGGCUAUAAAUUCAUGAGAGACGCUGAACCAGAACCACCCCCACCAGCUAAGCCAAAACCAAAUUCAUAACCCUUAAAGAAAUGUGAGAUAAUAGAUAUUUGUUGUUUUCAACUGCUAAUUUUGAGGAUGUUAUCCAGCAAUAAUACAUAAUGAAUAUAGGCAGAUGCUAUCCUGUUGUUCUCCCCCUUCCUUUUUCACGAUUAUCAGCAGUAUUGCAACAAAACCUCUUUGUACAUCUGUGUUUAUGUCCUCAAGAUAUUAUUUCUGUGGGAUAAAUUCUUAAAAUCGGAAUUUAUGGCUUGCACAUAUUAAAUUUAGGUAGAAAUUGCCUCCCCUCCAAAAUUGUAACAGUCUAUUCUCUCCCAAACAGUCGAUGAGAGUGCCUCUAUAUCUUUGCUAAUUUUAAAUGUUGUCUGUCUUUCUAAUUUUUCUCAGUCUUAUCUGAUAUUUUUGUUAGUUUGUAUUCUUUAACUCUUGGUGAAGAUAAGCAUGUUUUUGUAUGUUUAUGAUUUUAAAAAAUCACCUCGCUUAUUUCAGAUGAAAUUUUCUUUGCAUGCUCCUACCCCUUGCUCUUCCACACUGCUUGCCAUAUAGUUCACAUUACAUAAAUGUGCUGUUUUCAAAUGGAUGAAUGAUAGACUAGGAAAUGCAAUGCAGAUGUGCAGAAAGUCUUCAUUUAACUCCAUGGGAUUGGCUUUUAAUUGGAAAAAAAAUAUCUUAGCAACCAAUUAAUUUAAUUAUCUUUCCUUUACCCUUUAUCAAUAUUUAAUUAUCA